UUUGGUUUCUGAAAUUCUUUAAGUGUUUCUUAAUUUUGUAUUGUACAGGGGAAGAUGUGUUUACUCCAGUUCCUUUUGAAAUCUGUUGCAGUUUUGCCAUGAAUUAUGAUUGGAACAGAUUGAAAAAUGUCUUUGUUUCAAUUUUCCUAAAAUAAAUUAUUCAAAGCAGCUCAUUAUCUAUAAUUCUAUCCUGAGUUAAAAUAAAAAUAUUCUUUCUAGGUCAAUCUUCAUUGAGCUAUUAAUAUCCUUUUCAUAUUAUAAGAUUUCUUAAUUUCCUUUAUUAGCAACUGCAAGCAGCUGAAUGUCAUUGCUUUGAGUAUUAAUUGAUAUUUGAGUUCUCUUCAGUGGUUUUGCUCUUCCUUAUGUCAGCAACCUUCAGUCUAGUACACAUAGAACCCAGAUCGUUCUCAUACGGGACGCAGGGGGAUCCAAAGCAUUGGAUCCAUUGAACCGUAUUUAUGCUUUAAUUUUACUUCUGGUGAUAGAUGUGCCUCUUCUAUAAUUUGCAUGGCAGCAAAAUUCAGAAUUGUUGCAGAGACAUACAAUUAUUGGUUCAUUUGGGAAAGCUGGAACUUUAUUAUCUUACUGUAUGUUCAAGAACAUAAAAACUUGAGCAUACAUAAAUGAGAAGUCAACUUACAAAAUUCAGCACAGCAUCUGAAUAUUUGGUUCAUUAUAUUAAACGAUAUGUGAUUUGUUCAAAAAGAAUAUAUAAAAAUCUAUUUAUUAUUGAAGUAUAGAUAGUUUACAGGGAAAAUUGUAUUGGUUUCAAGUGUACAGCAAAGGGAUUCAGUUAUACAUAUAUAUAUUUUUUUGAAUUCUUUUCCAUUAUAGGUUAUGACAAGAUAUUGAAUAUAAUUCCCUGUGUUAUACAGUAGGUCCUUGUUGGUUAUUUUAUAUAUAAUAGUAUUUAUUUUUUAAUCUCAAUAUCCUAAUUUAUUACUCUACCCACCUCCCCUUUGAUAAGCUUGUUUUCUAUAUCUGUGAGUCUGUUUCUGCUUUGUAUCAUUUUUUAAAAGAUUCCACAUAUAAGUGAUAUCAUAUGAUAUUUGUCUUUGUCUGACUUACUUCACUUAAUAUGAUAAUCUCUAGGUCCAUCCAUAUUGCUGCAAAUGGCAUUAUUUCAUUCAUUUUUAUGGUUAGAGAACUUGUAAGUUUUAGUUACAUCACACAUGCAGAGUCUCCUAAAGAACAUUCUUGUAUGUAUUUUAGAGUUCUUAUAUAAAAAUGCUUCACCAGGAGUUCCUGUUGUGGCACAGUGGAUAAUGAAUCUGACUAGGAACCAUGAGGUUGCAGGUUUGAUCCCUGGCCUUGCUUAAUGGGUUAAGGAUCUGGCGUUGCCAUGAGCUGUGGUGUAUGUCGCAGAUGCAGCUCGGAUCCCGUGUUCCUGUGGCUCUGGCGUAGGCUGGAGGCUGCAGUUCUGAUUUGAUCCCUAGUCUGGGAACCUCUAUGUGCCGGGGGAAGCAGCCCUAGAAAAGGCAAAAAGACAAAAAAAAAAAAAAUGCUUCACCAAAGUGUGUGGAAAUUUAUUUUAUUACCUGUACUACCAUAAAUCUAAGCCAAUAAUCAACAUUAUGAGCUUUUUCUUGUUUGCAAAUCCAAAAAUUCAAAAAUAAAUCUCUCCCUUUUUGAAUUCCUUCCUUCACCUGCUGAAGCCUCUCCACCUGCCCUUUAGAUUACACACCAUGUUUCCUGCUGGGACUCAAAGACUCCAGUUGUCUCAAAACUUGGUGAUAGGGAGUUCUCUGGUAGUGUAGUGCCUAGGACUCAGCACUUUCACCACUGUGGCCCAGGUUCAGUCCCUGGUCUGGGAACUGAUAUCGUCUGGCCAAAGUCCAAGAAGACCAAAACGUAACACCCCCAAACCAAAAAACACUUGAUGGCAAUACAAAGUGUAUUCACUACUUCACCCAAGGGUGUAUUGGGCCUGGUAUUGCACUGAAGGCUGAAGCUACUACAGUUGUGAACGAAAGUGGUAUCUUCCAUAUUUGCCUCUCUGGAACUUCCACAGUUGCCUCUAUGGAACUUAUAGGUCAGGGACAGAGAUGUUACUGAGAUAAUUGUUGGAAUGCAGGUGCAUUUCCCAACUGAGAAGAGGCCUGUGGGUAUAGAAGGAUCUGUUUCAGUCUGAUGAUGGUGGCUGGCAGGGAAGGGCUCCCUGGGAAAAGAUCUUUGCUCUGAAGAUGAGUAGGAGCUAAUCGACCAUCAUAAUUGGGGUAGUAAAUGGGCUAGGAGGAAGAGCUCUGUAAUUGGACAUGCAAAGGCCCUGUGGUAGGAGGCAGGGAAACAAGUUUGAGGAACUGAAAGAAAGCCAUGUGGCUGAGACUAGAACACAAGGUGAAGUUUGGUGACAGGUAAAGCCAAAAUGGGCUAGAAUAAAGCCUGCCUGAUUAUUUUGUAAAUGCAGUAAGAAGGCAGUGAUGAAUUUAAGCAAAGGUGGAAGUCAAGGUGAGGAUGGUGUGUGUAUGUGUGUGUGUGUUUUCAUAGGCAGGUACCCUGAUUGGGUUUACAUUACGUAAAUUGUAAUAAAAUAUGAAAAGAAGGCCUAGAUUUUAAAAAGUCAUGAUCUUGCUUACCAUGCACCUGUUGCCCAUGUAAGCAAAUAGUUCAUGAUUCUUUUGGAAUUAGUUCUUUUCAACAAUGCAGUUAUUUUUCAGAGUUUAGCCAAGAAAUACUAAUAAAGUCAUUUUCCUACUGGGCGGAGAGUCCCAGUCCAAUUUAGUGUCCACAACUAACCGUUGCAAUAUAAUUUAAUCCUUAACAACUCGACCAAAGCCAAGACAACAGUAAAUGUGUUUUUACUCAUAAUUAAGGCUGCUCAAAAGUAAAAGUUAAACAAAGGCAGCGGAACGAUGUACAAAUAAUGACUUGGUAGAAAUGGGUCCAGUAUGUGCUGAUGAAAGUAGAUGUGGGAGUUCCCGUCAUGGCACAAUGGUUAAUGAAUCCGACUAGGAACCAUGAGGUUGCAGGUUCGAUCCCUGCCCUUGCUCAGUGGGUUAACGAUCUGGCGUUGCCGUGAGCUGUGGUGUAGGUUGCAGACGCGGCUCGGAUCCCGCGUUGCUGUGGCUCUGGCGUAGGCCAGCGGCUACAGCUCCGAUUGGACCCCUAGCCUGGGAACCUCCAUAUGCCGCUGCAGCGGCCCAAGAAGUGGCAAAAAGACCAAAAAAAAAAAAAAAAAAA
Molecule: long non-coding RNA, 3180 nt
Filed under: Sus scrofa (pig)
Lineage: Eukaryota; Metazoa; Chordata; Mammalia; Artiodactyla; Suidae
Description: lncRNA (ENSSSCG00030073462.1)
Source: RNAcentral